GGUUGUGGCUCAGUGGCAGAGUGCUUGCCUAGUACAUGAGAGGCCCUGGGUUAGAUCCUCAGCACCA
Molecule: transfer RNA, 67 nt
Filed under: Marmota monax (woodchuck)
Lineage: Eukaryota; Metazoa; Chordata; Mammalia; Rodentia; Sciuridae
Description: tRNA.Thr
Source: RNAcentral